GUCAGGAUGGCCGAGCGGU
This 19-nucleotide non-coding RNA is filed under the name Xenopus tropicalis (tropical clawed frog). Lineage: Eukaryota; Metazoa; Chordata; Amphibia; Anura; Pipidae. The record is from RNAcentral. RNAcentral also lists the same sequence under 1 other name.